Molecule: long non-coding RNA, 193 nt
Organism: Dendronephthya gigantea
Lineage: Eukaryota; Metazoa; Cnidaria; Anthozoa; Malacalcyonacea; Nephtheidae
Exons: 3
Source: RefSeq, a predicted model, not a curated record
GUCUUUAAUACUGCUGAACGAUUUAGAUAGUGCAGCAAAAGCUAAAAAAUGUGGUUUCCACUUGUUUUGCUACUGAUUGCUUGCAAAUUGUCGAUUAUGUCAGCGGCAAUAGUGGAACAAAAUUUCGGCAAAGCGAACAUCACUGAGAAUUCAUCCGACGGUUUCUUUUGUGAAACUGUUCGUUUUCCAACUC